UGUAAAAUUACCUCGUUCACUGGUCUUUCCCUCCAAACUUUUCGCAAAGGAGCUCCAGCGAUUUCACUCUCUUGAACCAGUGGAAGAUCUUUGUGAAGUGGAAGUAAAUGGCGUCAACCUCUGUUUCACAUGGCGACCCUGUAAUUGGCAGAAUCAGAACUGCAACUUCUACACUGUCCUCCGACACUGAAGCUCUCAUUGCUGAAAUUCGAAAAUCGUUGUCUACGAUGAAGGCAAUCGCAGUCAACUUAGAGAAGGAUAACCAGUCUCAAAAGGUGAAGGAGCUUGAAGAAGCCGUUAUUGAGUUGUUAGCAUGUUCUGAUGAUUGUUCGCAUCUGUCAUCCGCCAUUCAAUCCGUUGGUAACAAAUACCAACCCAGAGAAGAGAUGACGGAUUUUAACGAGUUGCUUGAGGAUGAGGUCAGAAAGCUCAAGGCCAACUCAUAUUCGGUUCGACAAAACAAUAUUUUGUUUCGGCAAUUCAAGGAAGCUAUAUGGAAUGUUCAUCAUGCAGGUCAACCAAUGCCAGGUGAUGAGCAGGAGGAUGUCGUCAUGACCAAUACUCAGACCAUCCUUUUGAAUACCACAUGCCCAUUAAGUGGAAAGCCUGUUAUUGAACUGGCAGAUCCUGUACGCUGUAUGGACUGCAAGCAUAUUUAUGACAAGAAAUCAGUGAUGCACUACAUAAAGUCCAAUUCCAGAGGUGGAAACCCUCAAUGCCCUGUUGCAGGUUGUCCCAAAGUUCUGCAGGCAGGAAGAGUGGUGUGUGAUCCCUUAUUGCUAGUUGAAAUUGAUGAAGCUCGCAAGGAAACUACUGCACAGCCUGGUGUUGUAGAAGAUUUCACUGCACUUGAUGAAGAAGACUGAUGUUGGCCGUUUCUGGAGUGAAUGGAUAAUGCUUGCAGUUAGAUGGCACUGUGAUGCAUCUGAAAUGAAGAAUUUUUAGGUUCCUUCUUUUUUUUUGAUAUUUACAGAUGGACUCCUAGUCUCCUACUAGUACCCCAGGAGUGGAUUAUCAAUCAGCUGAUUCAGAGCAUUUGAUGAAGCAGAUCUGCAUUGGUUAACCUGAUGAGGUUCCAUUUUUCUGGUGCCACACAUCCUCCAAAUAUCUACUCUCAAGAUGACCUUCUUAGAACUGUUGUGCGGACACUUAACCAAGGAUCCAACAUAAUGAGCAUGGACUUCCAUCCACAGCAACAAACUUCUUCUAGUGGUUACAAAUAUAGGUGAAAGUUGUACCCAAAUAUCUACUCUCAAGAUGACCUUCCUAGAACUGUUGCGCAGACACUUAACCAAGCGUCCAACAUAAUGAGCAUGGACUUCCAUCCACUACAACAGGCUUCUUCUACAAAUAUAGGUGAAAUUUGUACCCAAAUAUAUACUCUCAAGAUGACCUUCCUAGAACUGUUGUGUGGACACUUAAUCAAGGGUCCAACAUAAUGAGCAUGGAUUUCCAUCCAUAGCAACAGCUUCUUCUAGUGGGUACAAAUAUAGGUGAAAUUUCAAUCUGGGGAGUUGCAUCUCGAGAAAGGCUAGCACACAACUUUCAAGGUUUGGGAUAUCUUGACUUUCUUGAUGUCUUAGCAGACUGCAUUGAUAAAAGCUGCAACAAUAUCUGUCAAUCGGUGUAGUUGGGGCCCUGAUGGAUGCAUACUUGGUGUUGCAUUUUCAAAGCAUAUGUUCAAAUAUACAUGUACAACCCAACUGGAGAACUGAGACAACAUUUAGCAUAUCUGUGGUGUUAAUGAUAUUGAUUUUUCUCAUCCCCAAAAGCAACUAUGUAUUGUCACCUGUGGUGAUAAUAAGACAACAUUUGAAGGUCA
RNA transcript from Nelumbo nucifera (sacred lotus), 1822 nucleotides. It is a transcript of the gene named RING/U-box superfamily protein, with no coding region annotated. Lineage: Eukaryota; Viridiplantae; Streptophyta; Magnoliopsida; Proteales; Nelumbonaceae. The record is from RefSeq and is a predicted model, not a curated record.